AUUUAGCUCAGUGGUAGAGCGCUUACCUAGGAAGCGCAAGGCCCUGGGUUCGGUCCCCAGCUCCGAAAAAAAGAACCCCCCCCCAAAAAAAAUAAAAUACACAGGCAUCCCUGGAAACAGUCCACAGGGAGGAACUGAGGGCCUCUUCAGGGCUCUCCUGGGAACCUGGCUCCCAUCUCAGGGUGCUGACUCAAGCAAAUGGAAUGGCUCGAACUCCCCUAUGAUUAAACAAACACUGGGUUCCAAUAAUGUGCUGCAAGUUCCCUGGGACAUCCCAAGAGGUCUGGUGCUACCACACCCUCCAAGGGUAUCUCUCCUCCUUGAACAGACAGCGGAGCACAGCAGGGUCUGUGCGGGCCCGGCAGACCCAGCCCUCACACAAAUGUUCCCAGAAGAACAUGGCCUCUGAACUGAUGCUUCCUGUGGCCUAGGAGAUCCCAAAGGAGUCUUAACUGGUUGCCAGCUGCUAGCCACAUUCCCAGGCUUGUCAGCAAAUCUCUCCUUGGUGGAGGACCUCAAGGCACAGUGUCUGCCACAGGUUGGAAAAUGCAAAGUUAGCCUGCAGAAUGAAAGAUGGGGCACACCGAGAAGUGAAUCCAAAGAUAUCUACAUCCACCCCCUGGAGCAUGCAAUAGUGAUGUUAUUUGGAAAGAGACAUCUUUGCUGAUGUGUUUACACUGACGACCUUGAGAUAAGGAGAUAAUUGGGGCUCACUGGGGCGAGUCCUAAGGGCUGUGCUGAGUGUUCUCAGUGUGCAGAGGGAGCUGAGCCAGAAAGGGUGGCAUGAUGGGCAGAGUGGCACAAGCCCAUAACCCUAGCACGAGGCAGGGGGAUGUCUAGGCCAGCUUCAACUACAUAGUGAGACUCUGUUGAGUGAAGGAGGCAAUAUGAGUCAGAGUAGUCACAGGCCAGGCUAGCUGAGUGUCACUAAAGCUGGUGGGUGCUGGGAGCAGAGCUCACUGGGAAGAUCAUGAUCCUGCCAAGUCCUUGAUGUGGCCCUCUGGAACUGGUUUUGGACUUCUGACCUUCCAUAUCUAUAGGGGAAUCUAUUUAUGAUGGGACAUGCAAGAUAAGUUUGUGGUGACCUCAUUGUGACCGCCAUAGAUGAUAGAUACUAGGAAUAACAAUUGGGCAACAUGUAAGUGGGAGUCAGGCUUAUGUGGCACAAGCUUGUAAUCCUGGCAACUCGAGACUGAAAUGAGUUCAAGUCUCGAGUUCAAGUCCCACCCGGGCUACUAAGAGAGUUACAAUCAGCCUGUUCAAUUUAGUGAGAGCCCGUCUUAAAAUAAACAAAAGAAAGAAAAAGACAGACAGCUGGAGUACCUGCUUUCUCUUUUAACCUUUAUGACCUCGGCAGCAGAAGGAAGAUGGGAUGAGCAACUCUUGGGAAGAAUUUGUAAAAGCCGCACCCACCGUUGUGCAGUUGCUAUGGCUCUGAGGCCCACCACUUUCAAGAGUCAAACUGCAACAAACACGGGUCCCAUGCCAAGCACGAGAGAACGUAUUACCGGAGUGCCACUAAGAGACUAGACACCACAGUGACUGGAGAAUGGGGCAGACCGGUUGUCUGGCACAGAUCAGACAUGGACUCCAUGAAGGUUUAACACCUAAACCAGUGGCCAUUGCAGCUUCGGCUUCAUCUUGAGGGUUAUGACAAUUAGUCACAAAGUAAGUACUCUGGCUUCAAAAAAUAAAAUACAAAACAACAAAAUCAACAACCAAGAGAACAAUACUGGGGACAUUGCUCAGUGGUAGAAGUCCUAAGCUCAAUCUCUAGUAUGAAAAAAAAAGUUAUUGAGGAUAUAUAUAUAUAUAUAUAUAUAUAUAUAUAUAUAUACUGGGAAUAUAUAUAUAUAUGUAUUAUAUAUAUAAUAUAUAACAGAAUCUACCUGUGAGGUGUUGAGAGGACACAAAUUCCCAUUUGGGAAGUGGAGGUCAUCUGGAAGAGCACCCAAGCCUCCUGCAUCGCCAUAGGAGAAAGGAACCUGUUGCCCACAUUGUAACUCCACUGCCCACCUCAGACCAGAAGGCAGCAGAUGCUAUCCCUGCCCUGCCUCCCAGCUGCCCUAGGUGUGGCCCAUCAGAAAUUGAUCUUUGUUCUCUGUGCUUGUGACAUGGGCCAAGCUAAGUAACCUCAAGAUCCGGUCUCUUCCGCCUUUCUCUGUUGGUCAUGUGUGCCAGGCCCUGCACUCUCUCAGAAGCUCCAGUUACCUAGGAAAAGAGGGGUAACACAGUUCCCCUCUUCUUUCUCUUAUAAAAUAUCCCUAGAACCAAUUUCUGUUGCCUGGACAGAGCUCAGGAAAAUGUCUGACGAGGCUAGAUUUGAUAUCUAAUGGGUGUUCAUUGCUGCCCAGGUCUUCAGCUCUCCCUUGGUGAACUUACCUCAGGAAGGACACAUUUCUAAAAGCACACAGUGUUGGCUGUGUAGGGCACAUUAUACUUGAACCUAGUUUUCAGAGAUGUACUUUAACAGUGCUGAGUUUUACAUAGCAGUGAAAGAGAGUAGUGAUGUCCACCUUCUAGAAUAAGUGUCCUGAAGGCCACAAGGUGGGCCUGGCUUCUCAGAGUCCGAUCUUUCCAGAAGGAAGAGCCUGCACCUGCCUGCCCUUCAGCAGAGGUCGGCACAGGCAGGCCUGACACUGCAGUUCUCAUGAGGGGUUCCAUCUUCACUGUAGAGCCAGAAGAGUAGGGUCUGUACCUCCCCCAUGCUUCAAACACCACAGAGGUAGGAGGAAGGCAGACCUGUCAUAGAGGACAAGACCCUUUCCUACAGCGAUGGGAACUGGUGAGCAGACUGGGGCAGACUACCCACAGGCCAAAGUGCACCUCACCUGAUCCUACUGUCUUCCCAAAGUCUGAACUGCAGGUUUUUAGCUUCUAUUGUCUUCUGGGAAGAUGAUAGCCUGGGAAUUCUUUUUUUUUUUUUUUUUUUUUUUCGGAGCUGGGGACCGAACCCAGGGCCUUGCGCUUCCUAGGCAAGCGCUCUACCACUGAGCUAAAUCCCCAACCCUAGCCUGGGAAUUCUUAAAGUGAUCCACCUAGAAAGCUGUGGAUGCCUUACUAAGACAAUCGUGUGGGCCUUGCACUAGAGACAGGGGAACCUUGCAAAAUAACACCCUCAAACUCCCACACCCCUCACCCCUGGAGAAGAAAAACCGAGAGCAAGUCAGCUGUAUAGAACUGCAGAGGCCAAAUUCACAGGAUCUCCUCCUCCUCCUCAUCCUCCCCCUCCUCUUCCUCCUCCUCCCCCUCUUCCUCUUCCUCCUCCUCCCUCUCCCUCCUCCUCUUCCUCUUCCUCCUCCCCCCUCCUCUCCUCUUUCUCCUCCUCCUCCCCUUCUCCUCUUCCUCUUCUUCCUCGAAGACCAAGAUGCUCCUCGAGAUGAGCAAGUGGCUGCUGGGAGAGCUCCUGCAGAUAACAGUCAUGUUUCCUUUUCUCACUAAUGCCUUUAAAGUCAUACUACGUUGCUGGGCACAGUGGCCUACACCUUUAAUCCCAGCGCUUGUGGGAGGUAGAGGCAGGUAUAUCUUUGUGAGUUCGAGGCCAGCCUGGUCUACAUAGUGAAUUCCUGGACAGCUAGAGGCACAUAGUGAGAUCCUAUUUCAAAAAAGGAAAAAAAAGUCCUACUGUGCAUCAGCUAUAUUGGUGAUGUUGGUGAUAUGUCUUUCUGGGCUUAAGGAGCUAAUAUUUUUAUAAGGCAGAGUAACAGUAGUGCAGCUUACUAUAUGGUAUUAUUUACUUGUGUGUGGGCACACACAUGUAUACAUUAUCAAUCUUGUUAUCUAUCUCUUACUCAGCAAAAAUAUAUGCACAACCUCUAUGGAGUAAAAGAAAACCCUUGCUCUUCUGGGAGAUGUGAUGAUUAGUUCAUGUUUUGAGGGAUGAAUAGGAGUUUGUCUUGGGGAACUGAGUGGGCAAGGAAGCUAUGCCGAGCUCAGAGCCUGGCUGGUGCUCCUGAAUUCACCUCCUUAGGUAAACCUCAUACCCAUUAGGGUGGGUGAAGAAGAGCCUGGGCUCAGGAGAGUUGGGUGGGGAGGAUGGGAAAGGAUCUGAAAAGCUAUAACACUGCUUCACAACCUUCCUAACACUUCCACCCUUUAAUGCAGUUCCUCCCGUUGUAGUGACCCCCACCCCCAACCCUAAAGUUAUUUUGUUGCUACUUCUUUUUUCUUUUUUUUUUUUUGGUUCUUUUUUUCAGAGCUGGGGAUCGAACCCAGGGCCUUGCGCUUCCUAGGUAAGCGCUCUACCACUGAGCUAAAUCCCCAACCCCUUGUUGCUGCUUCUUUUUUUUUUUUUUUUUUUUUUUUUGGUUCUUUUUUUUUUUUCGGAGCUGGGGACUGAACC
Rattus norvegicus (Norway rat) is the source of this 4342-nucleotide non-coding RNA. Lineage: Eukaryota; Metazoa; Chordata; Mammalia; Rodentia; Muridae. The record is from RefSeq and is a predicted model, not a curated record.